GGAGAGAUGGCAGAGUGGUUUAUUGCGACGGUCUUGAAAAUCGUUGAAGAAUAUUAAUUCUUCCGGGGUUCAAAUCUCUCUCUCCG
This 86-nucleotide transfer RNA is filed under the name Candidatus Shikimatogenerans bostrichidophilus. RNAcentral describes it as "tRNA-Ser". It matches the Rfam family "tRNA". From Rfam's summary of the family: Transfer RNA (tRNA) molecules are approximately 80 nucleotides in length. Lineage: Bacteria; Pseudomonadati; Bacteroidota; Flavobacteriia; Flavobacteriales. The record is from RNAcentral.